This 641-nucleotide long non-coding RNA is filed under the name Homo sapiens (human). Its description in RNAcentral is "HSALNT0293363". The record is from RNAcentral. Lineage: Eukaryota; Metazoa; Chordata; Mammalia; Primates; Hominidae.
UGACCAAAGUCAGACAACAGUGAUUAUAUUACUACAGUGAUUCUGGAGUGUUCUCAACAAAUAAUAACCUCAGAAACAAGUAGGCACUUGGAGACAUUGGGCUGUGGAUUCAGGUUGCCUAGGUUUGAAUCCUAGUCCCAACAUUUACUAAGGCUCUCUGAUAGUGGGCACAUUAUUUAACUUCCUCAGACCUGUUUCCCCAUCUACAAAAUUGGAUUACCUAUGCUCCAAGAGAGAGGCCAUGUGGGUACACCAUGAGAAGUCUGUCAUCUACAGGAAAGGAAGAGAGCCCUCCCAGGAAACUGACUUUGCCAGACUUUGACCUGGAACGUCUAUUCUCCAGAACUGGCUCCUUCUUCAUAGGCUGGGGGUGUAUACAAAGAGGAUAAUGGCAUUAAACCAGCAAGGAAGUGUUGCUCUCCAGGAUAGAAUGUACGAUUAGUAGAUGAGAAACUGAGACUCAUGGAGCCUCAACAUGAAGAUGAUGAAAAUGGAGACCUUCAUCGUGAUCCACUUCUAAUUAAUGAAUAGGAGGCUUGGGCCGAACUGGGUGAUCAGACAUCAUACACAGAGAAGGAGCAAGAGAGAGAUUACACAGAGGAGGAACAAGGUGUGCAGCGGACAGCCAGUGCCAAGACCUC